GCGUAACGCGUGGGAAUCUGCCCUAGGGUUCGGAAUAACUUCGGGAAAAGGGAGCUAAUGCCGGAUGGUGACGUAAGUCCAAAGAUUUAUCGCACAGGGAUGAGCCCGCGUAGGAUUAGCUAGUUGGUGGGGUAAAGGCCUACCAAGGCGACGAUCCUUAGGUGGUUUGAGAGGAUGAUCAGCCACACUGGGACUGAGACCCGGCCCAGACUCCUUCGGGAGGCAGCAGUAGGGAAUAUUGGACAAUGGGCGAAAGCCUGAUCCAGCAAUGCCGCGUGAGUGAUGAAGGCCUUAGGGUUGUAA
This 303-nucleotide ribosomal RNA is filed under the name uncultured Sphingomonas sp. RNAcentral's name for it is "bacterial SSU rRNA". It matches the Rfam family "Bacterial small subunit ribosomal RNA", at positions 108 to 428 of the family's 1533-position model. Lineage: Bacteria; Pseudomonadati; Pseudomonadota; Alphaproteobacteria; Sphingomonadales; Sphingomonadaceae. The record is from RNAcentral.